This 2534-nucleotide long non-coding RNA is filed under the name Lactuca sativa (garden lettuce). RNAcentral's name for it is "long non-coding RNA (LSAT_LNC008773)". Lineage: Eukaryota; Viridiplantae; Streptophyta; Magnoliopsida; Asterales; Asteraceae. The record is from RNAcentral.
AAACAUAGAUCCAAGGUUUCUAGGGUUGCAUGUACACCUUAGGAGUGUUAGAAUGCUCAAAACCCUAACUAGCAUAUUGUGAAGUAUAUGUAAUACAAAAUUUUAGUUUAAUGACAUACCUUUUCUUGUAGCUUGAUUCCUUAAGCCUUUAAGAGCCUAGCACCCCAAGUGUGAUGCCUCAAAUGAUUCACACAACACCANCUUAGUUAUAUAGCUUGUAUAUUAGUAUGGGAUACGAAUAAUUCUCUUUCACUAAAAUACUAAAGUCACUAACCUGUCAAGAACCAUCCACACUAAGAUAACUAUAAUAGGUAUAGGUAAUGUUGCUACUGCUACUACUCGCUAAAGUCACUACUCUCUACACUAUAAUACUCACUAUUACUAGACAAUACACUAGUAAGAGAAUACACUAUGAUCAAUACUAAAAGAUUUCUACACUAUAACAGAAGAGAAAACACUAAACAAACAAUAAUACACUAACCCGCUACGAGAUACUCUAUUCGCUACCCACUACGCCCGGAGUUUUCCGGCAGGAAGACGACACUACAUGUAUAGAUCUAUACAGGGCAGACGCUAUUACAUCCCGACUGAUAAUUUCAGUCCGCGCCGUGCAGGCCCAGGGAUGCCACUACUUCACUAUACUGUGCAUGACUGGAAAGGUCAUGGGAUCCGCUAUUAUCCUCACUAGUUGAAAUAUACUAGGAAUACACUAUAUCUACACUAAAAUAUUACACUAAACGCUAAACUACAUCCCGAAGUAAGUAAGUACCUAUCACUAAAGGAAGCUUUCACCACUAUCAAUGAUUACAGGCUUAACCUAUUCUAUCACAUUACUAUUUGGAGAUUUGCUAAUAUACUUUUACAAUAAAUUGUUUUCAAAAAGGAAGAAUGCAUACUUUUAACAGAUUUUCACUUACAAUGUAUUUGCUGGAAAAUUUGGAUUUUCUAGGUUUCUACUGCUUAUGAAUAUAAAUGGCGCAUUUUUCGCACUAUUGCUUGUAUACGAAAACUCCCACUAAACUCUUAUGAACUCACCAGCUUUAUGCUGAUAUUCGUUUUCAAAAUAACUUGUAUCUUCAGGUCAAAGAUAGACAGGUACAGACGCAACAUUUUUGGAGAAGGUGGAGCACACAAGACCCAUCUCUUAUUUUUGAUUUACUUUUGGGUGAUUGUUGAACCUUACAAAACACACUUGUAAUUAAAUUCACUAUGUAAAUGCAAUGGUUGUAUGUUUCCUUGUUUUUACUAUUAUGCAAUUGUGAUGAUACUGUACAUGACGUCCUCCACCCCGAAACGUAUUCCGCCGUAUUCGGUUUUGGGGUGUGACAACUAUUGACACAACUAUAUAAAGAUCCCACGGAUAACCAAAACCGUGCACUACAAGCAAGUAAUAGAGGACUAGCCGAUUUUGAGGUGUAAGAGUACUUCUCUCAAAGUUAUUCUAAGUGUUGUGGUGUUGUGUGAGACAUUUGAGGCAACACACUUGAGGUGACAGGAUCACAAGGUUUUCAAGGAAUCCAAGCAACUAAAAGGUAUGUUCUUCUACUAGCAUUUAUGUUAUAAAGUUGCCCAUGCCAUGCUAGUUAAGUUAAGAACCUUGGAAAAUUAUUUUUGCGUGUAUCUUAGUGAAACAUAGAUCCAAGGUUUCUAGGGUUGCAUGUAAACCUUAGGAGUGUUAGAAUGAUCUAAACCCGUCAGUGGUAUCAGAGCCUAGGCUUGCUUAUUUGAUACUUGAUGCAAACUUGUUAAGAAAAUCAACAAAAUUGCAUUAUGUCUGGGUGAAUUUGCCGAGUCCAUGGGGGGACUCGACGCGUCCAUGCCUAUAUUCAUCAAACUCGGCGAGUUAGUUCUUGCACUCGACGAGUUGGCUUGUCACAGUGCAGGUUUCCGACUUUUGCUACUGGAAUUGGGCUAAACCCAUAAGGUGCUUCAUGGAUAGUCCAUGGGAGUUAUAAACCCAUGGAUCAUGGAAUAUGAAAAGCGAUGACAAUUAGGGUUUACAUGAUGUAACCCUACUUGUGACAAACCUAUAUAAAGACCCCAUGGAUGACCAAAAAUCGUGCACUACAAGCAAGUAAUAGAGGGCUAGCCGAUUUUAAGGUGUAAGAGUAAUUCUCUCAAAGUUAUUCUAAGUGUUGUGGUGUUGUGUGAGACAUUUGUGGCAUCACACUUGAGGUGCUAAGCUCACAAGGUUUUCAAGGAAUCCAAGCAACUAAAAGGUAUGUUCUUCUACUAGCAUUUAUGUUUUAAAGUUCCCCAUGCCAUGCUAGUUAAGUUAAUAACCUUGGAAAAUCAUUUUUACAUGUAUCUUAGUAAAACAUAGAUCCAAGGUUUCUAGGGUUGCAUGUACACCUUAGGAGUGUUAGAAUGCUCAAAACCCUAACUAGCAUAUUGUGAAGUAUAUGUAAUACAAAAUUUUAGUUUAAUGACAUACCUUUUCUUGUAGCUUGAUUCCUUAAGCCUUUAAGAGCCUAGCACCCCAAGUGUGAUGCCUCAAAUGAUUCACACAACACCACAACAAUUGGAAAAACUUG